GAUGAACGCUGGCGGCGUGCCUAAUACAUGCAAGUCGAGCGAACGGACGAGAAGCUUGCUUCACUGAUGUUAGCGGCGGAAGGGUGAGUAACACGUGGAUAACCUACCUAUAAGACUGGGAUAAAUUCGGGAAACCGGAGCUAAUACCGGAUAAUAUUUUGAACCGCAUGGUUCAAAAGUGAAAGACGGUCUUGCUGUCACUUAUAGAUGGAUCCGCGCUGCAUUAGCUAGUUGGUAAGGUAACGGCCUACCAAGGCAACGAUGCAUAGCCGACCUGAGAGGGUGAUCGGCCACACUGGAACUGAGACACGGUCCAGACUCCUACGGGAGGCAGCAGUAGGGAAUCUUCCGCAAUGGGCGAAAGCCUGACGGAGCAACGCCGCGUGAGUGAUGAAGGUCUUCGGAUCGUAAAACGCUGUUAUUAGGGAAGAACAUAUGUGUAAGUAACUGUGCACAUCUUGACGGUACCUAAUCAGAAAGCCACGGCUAACUACGUG
This 497-nucleotide ribosomal RNA is filed under the name uncultured bacterium. RNAcentral's name for it is "partial 16S ribosomal RNA". It matches the Rfam family "Bacterial small subunit ribosomal RNA", at positions 28 to 507 of the family's 1533-position model. The record is from RNAcentral.